RNAcentral lists this transfer RNA (60 nucleotides) under Tympanocryptis centralis (Central Australian earless dragon). RNAcentral's name for it is "tRNA-Cys". The record is from RNAcentral. Lineage: Eukaryota; Metazoa; Chordata; Lepidosauria; Squamata; Agamidae.
GGUUUAAAAAGGAUGUUUGAGUGCAAAUCAAACGGUGGGCCUGAGAUGGUCCUUAAGCCU